UACGCAGGCGGAAAAUUAAGUCAGUAGUGAAAUCCCACAGCUCAACUGUGGAACUGUUAUUGAUACUGGUUUUCUUGAAUAUAGUUGAGGUAGGCGGAAUGUGUAAUGUAGCGGUGAAAUGCUUAGAUAUUACACAGAACACCGAUUGCGAAGGCAGCUUACUAAGCUAUGAUUGACGCUGAGGUACGAAAGCGUGGGGAGCGAACAGGAUUAGAUACCCUGGUAGUCC
RNAcentral lists this ribosomal RNA (229 nucleotides) under uncultured bacterium. RNAcentral describes it as "partial 16S ribosomal RNA". It matches the Rfam family "Bacterial small subunit ribosomal RNA", at positions 568 to 796 of the family's 1533-position model. The record is from RNAcentral.